This 472-nucleotide ribosomal RNA is filed under the name uncultured bacterium. Its description in RNAcentral is "bacterial SSU rRNA". It matches the Rfam family "Bacterial small subunit ribosomal RNA", at positions 355 to 825 of the family's 1533-position model. The record is from RNAcentral.
UGGGGAAUAUUGGACAAUGGGCGAAAGCCUGAUCCAGCCAUGCCGCGUGUGUGAAGAAGGUCUUCGGAUUGUAAAGCACUUUAAGUUGGGAGGAAGGGCAGUUACCUAAUACGUGAUUGUUUUGACGUUACCGACAGAAUAAGCACCGGCUAACUCUGUGCCAGCAGCCGCGGUAAUACAGAGGGUGCAAGCGCUAAUCGGAAUUACUGGGCGUAAAGCGCGCGUAGGUGGUUAGUUAAGUUGGAUGUGAAAUCCCCGGGCUCAACCUGGGAACUGCAUUCAAAACUGACUGACUAGAGUAUGGUAGAGGGUGGUGGAAUUUCCUGUGUAGCGGUGAAAUGCGUAGAUAUAGGAAGGAACACCAGUGGCGAAGGCGACCACCUGGACUGAUACUGACACUGAGGUGCGAAAGCGUGGGGAGCAAACAGGAUUAGAUACCCUUGUAGUCCCUGAGCGGGCUGGCAAGGCGCAU